CGCUGGACUACAUUUCCCAGAAGGCCGAGCGGGCUGUCGCUCCCUGCGGGGACCGUUAGACGAGUGAGGUGCGAGCCCGGUCCCCACGGGUCCGACCCAGGGCGACGGGAAGGGCCUCAGGCCGCCCUGCGAGCAGCGAGCUCGGCCGUUACUGAAACUGGACAGGGUGCCUCGUUCUCCUCGGAACUCCAUCCCUGUGCGAUGGAUACUGGGGCUGGGGCUGGAAAUGACCUCGGGCCUGACCUGAAACCUUCGCCAGGUAAACUGCCCAGAAGACGAGCAAGGAAGGAGUGAUGAACGACUGCAAAUAGUUUCCAGUCUGUGGUUGGGUUUCCUUUUUACUUGCUUACUUCUGGAAAUACCCGCUUAAUAAUUUGCCAUGUGAAUAUACAAUUUCCCCAUUGGAGAACAACACAGCUAGUGCCUAGUGUUAAAGCCUCCAUAUGUCUAAUGUUCACUUUUACCAAAAAUAAUGCUUGUUGAACUA
Molecule: long non-coding RNA, 487 nt
Organism: Jaculus jaculus (lesser Egyptian jerboa)
Lineage: Eukaryota; Metazoa; Chordata; Mammalia; Rodentia; Dipodidae
Exons: 2
Source: RefSeq, a predicted model, not a curated record